CCCCAAAUUCAAUUUCAAGUUCAAUUCUCAAAUCCCAACCCCACCAAGUUAACUCAACUGCUUACGCCGAAACUCUUACCACCCUACACCGGCUAUCAUUCCGACAACAAUGGCGAAUUCAGAAAUUGUUUGCGGAGGAACAAAAUUUAAAAGGAUAAAAGGUCUCAAAAAAAUAUAGACAACAAAUCUUUUUCAGAUAGUAGACAAUAUUAAUGUUGUUCAUAAUGCAAAAUUAAAAGAGGAAGGGAGAGAAUUAGACAAAUAAAAUAAAAUAAAUGAAUUAUUUACUCAUAAUGAUACCUAGAAAUCCAGAAAAUCCAUUCCAGUAACAAAACAAUCAUAAAAUCCCAAACCACUCUACAUAGCCACAUCCAGACCAGCAACAACCACGAACUCAAACCCUGAACGCAGAUCCGAUGGCCAAAACGGUGACGAUGACGACCAAGGCAGAGAUAAAUGAGGGGGAGGGAUGUGGCUGGGGAGACUUUGGAGCGGGUCCAAUGCAGGUUUUUUCAAGUACUCAGACAGAUCCUUACUCUUAGGGUCGAUUUCUGAUGACUGGAAGUGUGGCCAUACCUCCUUGCGCCUAUGUAGCUUCGCCAUUGUCUGAGGACCACCUAAACCGCAUCUUUCAAAUUCCAAAGUAAGUUAUUCAUAGCUUAUUCAAAUUAAAUUUCUAAUUGUUUUAGUGAAUCGGUUAAAAAUUGUUUCUUUUAUGAAUAAUUAGAGUUGAUUAUUAAUGUGGAUCAUAUAUGAUUUUUAUUUAGAUUGAUUGAUAUGUGUGUUUUAGACCUUUUAUUUAUAAAUAGACAAAAGUUUUUAUUUAGACUAUUGAAUGGGUUGAGUUUUGUGUGAGGAGUUGGUUUGUAUGAGUUUAUAAUUAUGUGUAUUUGCUACUUACAUUACCUUUGGUUUAUAAUCAUGUGUAUGAGUUUAUAAUUGAGUGUCCAUGUCAUGAUACACGUGUAGUUGACUCAUGAUUUAGAAUGAGGAUUAUUUUCAGAUUUUCUUUGUAAAAGAUCAUGGGAGUUUCAAAUUGUGUCGUUUAUCGUAUAUUGUGUAGUAAAAAAUUAUUUUAAAUAUUUUUAUUUAAAAUUAAAUAUGAACAAUAUCUGAUGAAAACUAACCGCACGACAUAUAAUAAAUGGACACGAUUUAAGGAUCAUCGGGAUUCUCGUUCCAUGAUUUGUAUCUUUGUAUCUUUCCUUUUGUUUGGAUUUUUGCUUUAUCGAAAAAAUUUCUCACUUGAAAUUUACCACCAACAAAGAAUUAAAUCCUUGCAUGUUUCAACUUAUGUCCCUUUUUAGGUCAGCUCUUACUGCAGAAAUUCCCAGGUGCUUAGCAUUAUAAGCAAUUAACCAGCCAUGUUCCACUCUGAAUUAGUAAAUCAUCCAACGACAAACGAUUGGCAGUUUGAUGUUUCCAUUUUCUAAAAUCCAAGAGAAACUUGUAUUUUUUUUUUCUGCAACCAAUUGAAAGGGACACAAUAAGAAGCAUGCAUAUAUAUUCAAUACAC
This 1516-nucleotide long non-coding RNA is filed under the name Malus domestica (apple). Its description in RNAcentral is "long non-coding RNA (MDOM_LNC014326)". Lineage: Eukaryota; Viridiplantae; Streptophyta; Magnoliopsida; Rosales; Rosaceae. The record is from RNAcentral.